GACGAACGCUGGCGGCGUGCCUAAUACAUGCAAGUAGAACGCACAGUUUAUACCGUAGCUUGCUACACCAUAGACUGUGAGUUGCGAACGGGUGAGUAACGCGUAGGUAACCUGCCUGGUAGCGGGGGAUAACUAUUGGAAACGAUAGCUAAUACCGCAUAAUAUUAAUUAUUGCAUGAUAAUUAAUUGAAAGGUGCAAUUGCACCACUACCAGAUGGACCUGCGUUGUAUUAGCUAGUAGGUGAGGUAACGGCUCACCUAGGCGACGAUACAUAGCCGACCUGAGAGGGUGAUCGGCCACACUGGGACUGAGACACGGCCCAGACUCCUACGGGAGGCAGCAGUAGGGAAGCUUCGGCAAUGGACGAAAGUCUGACCGAGCAACGCCGCGUGAGUGAAGAAGGUUUUCGGAUCGUAAAGCUCUGUUGUAAGAGAAGAACGGGUGUGAGAGUGGAAAGUUCACACUGUGACGGUAUCUGACCAGAAAGGGACGGCUAACUACGUG
This 505-nucleotide ribosomal RNA is filed under the name uncultured bacterium. Its description in RNAcentral is "partial 16S ribosomal RNA". It matches the Rfam family "Bacterial small subunit ribosomal RNA", at positions 28 to 507 of the family's 1533-position model. The record is from RNAcentral.